GACGAACGCUGGCGGCGUGCCUAAUACGUGCAAGUCGAACGAACAGACGCGGAGCUUGCUCCUCUCACGUUAGCCGCGGACGGGUGAGUAACACGUGUAUAACCUACCUAUAAGUCUGGUAAAACCUCGGGACACCGGAGCUUAUACCGUAUAAGCUAUUGAACCGUAUGGUUCAAUAGUGAAAUACGGCUUUGCUGUCACUACUAGCUGGAUCCGGGCCGCAUUAGCUAGUUGGUACGGUAACGGCCUAGUAAGGCAACGAUGCCUAGCCGAGCUGAGAGAGUGAUAGCCCACACUGGAGCUGAGACACGGUCCAGGCUCCUACGAGAGGCAGCAGUAGGGAAUCUUCCGCAGUGGUCGAAAGCAUGACGGAGCGGCGCCGCGUGAGUUGUGGCAGUCUUCGGAUCGUGAUGCUCUGUUAUUAGGGGAGAACCAAUUUGUAAGUAACUAUGCACGUCUUGACGGUACCUAGUCAGAAAGCCACGGCUAACUACGUG
Molecule: ribosomal RNA, 497 nt
Filed under: uncultured bacterium
Lineage: Bacteria
Description: partial 16S ribosomal RNA
Rfam family: Bacterial small subunit ribosomal RNA
Source: RNAcentral